GGGUUCGGAGUUAUGAUUAACGGGGACAGUCGGGGGCAUUCGUAUUUCCUAGUCAGAGGUGAGAUUCUUGGAUUUAUGAAAGACGUACAACUGCGAUAGCAUUUGCCAAGGAUGUUUUCAUUAAUCAAGAACGAAAGUUGUGGGCUCGAAGACGAUCAGAUACCGUCCUAGUCUCAACCAUAAACGAUGCCGACCAGGGAUCAGCGGAUGUUGCUUAUAGGAAUCCGGUGG
RNAcentral lists this ribosomal RNA (231 nucleotides) under Vibrio alginolyticus. Its description in RNAcentral is "partial 16S ribosomal RNA". It matches the Rfam family "Eukaryotic small subunit ribosomal RNA", at positions 853 to 1083 of the family's 1831-position model. Lineage: Bacteria; Pseudomonadati; Pseudomonadota; Gammaproteobacteria; Vibrionales; Vibrionaceae. The record is from RNAcentral.